Molecule: ribosomal RNA, 254 nt
Filed under: uncultured bacterium
Lineage: Bacteria
Description: partial 16S ribosomal RNA
Rfam family: Bacterial small subunit ribosomal RNA
Source: RNAcentral
UACGUAGGCAGCGAGCGUUGUUCGGAAUUACUGGGCGUAAAAGUGUGUAUGAGCGGUGCUCUAAGUUCGGUGUGAAAUCUCCUGGCUCAACUGGGAGGGUGCGCCGGAAACUGGAGUGCUUGAGCGUGGGAGAGGAAAGCGGAAUUCCUGGUGUAGCGGUGAAAUGCGUAGAUAUCAUUUGGAACGCCAAUGGUGAAAACAGGUAGCUGGGGCUGUGCUGACACUGAGACACGAAAGCCAGGGGAGCGAACGGG